UACGUAGGGGGCUAGCGUUGUCCGGAAUCAUUGGGCGUAAAGAGCGUGUAGGCGGCCCGGUAAGUCCGCUGUAAAAGUCAAAGGCUCAACCUUUGAAUGUCAGUGGAUACUGCCGGGCUAGAGUCCGGAAGAGGCGAGUGGAACUCCUGGUGUAGCGGUGGAAUGCGCAGAUAUCAGGAAGAACACCUAUGGCGAAGGCAGCUCGCUAGGACGGUACUGACGCUGAGACGCGAAAGCGUGGGGAGCGAACAGG
RNAcentral lists this ribosomal RNA (253 nucleotides) under uncultured bacterium. Its description in RNAcentral is "partial 16S ribosomal RNA". It matches the Rfam family "Bacterial small subunit ribosomal RNA", at positions 524 to 776 of the family's 1533-position model. The record is from RNAcentral.